RNAcentral lists this ribosomal RNA (253 nucleotides) under uncultured bacterium. Its description in RNAcentral is "partial 16S ribosomal RNA". It matches the Rfam family "Bacterial small subunit ribosomal RNA", at positions 524 to 776 of the family's 1533-position model. The record is from RNAcentral.
UACGUAGGGGGCAAGCGUUGUCCGGAUUUAUUGGGCGUAAAGAGCGUGUAGGCGGCUAUACAGGUCCGCUGUGAAAACUCGAGGCUCAACCUCGGGACGUCGGUGGAAACCGUAUGGCUAGAGUCCGGAAGAGGAGAGUGGAAUUCCUGGUGUAGCGGUGAAAUGCGCAGAUAUCAGGAAGAACACCCGUGGCGAAGGCGGCCACCUGGACGGUAACUGACGCUGAGACGCGAAAGCGUGGGGAGCAAACAGG